Molecule: ribosomal RNA, 426 nt
Filed under: uncultured bacterium
Lineage: Bacteria
Description: partial 16S ribosomal RNA
Rfam family: Bacterial small subunit ribosomal RNA
Source: RNAcentral
GACGAACGCUGGCGGCGUGCUUAACACAUGCAAGUCGAGCGGAGCGGCGAACGGGUGAGUAACGCGUGAGUAACUGCCCCCCUCUCUGGGAUAACCGUUGGAAACGGCUGCUAAUACCUGCUAGUGGGGGAUGACUCGCGUCCUUUCGGCGUGUUGGUUGGGUAGUGGCCUACCAAGGCGACGACGGGGAGCCGGCCUGAGAGGGCGAACGGCCACAAUGGGCUGAGAUACGGCCCAAAAUCCUACGGGAGGGAGCAGGGGGGAAUAUGGCAAAAUGGGGGAAACCCUGAUGCAGCAACGGCGCGUGAGUGAAGAAGGGGUUCGGAUCGUAAAGCUCUGUUGUUAAGGGAGAAGGGAAAGUGCAUGCUGUGACGGUACUUAACCAGAAAGGGACGGCUAACUACGUGCCAGCAGCCGCGGUAAUAC